GAGUCAGCCUGCCCAGUGAUAAAAUUUAACGGCCGCGGUAACCUAACCGUGCGAAGGUAGCAUAAUCACUUGUCCUUUAAAUAGGGGCUUGUAUCAACGGCACCACGAGGGUUAUACUGUCUCCUUUCUCUAAUCAGUGAAACUGAUCUCCCCGUGAAGAAGCGGGGAUAAAACUAUAAGACGAGAAGACCCCAUGGAGCUUUAAAUUAGCAGCAACUCAAUCAUCUACCCCCUUAUAAAAUAGAGCUAUGCAUGCGACUUUUAGGUUGGGGCGACCGCGGAGUAUAAAAUAACCCCCACGACGAAAAGAGCUAAAUCUUUAUCCCAGAGUUUCCCCUCAAAGAAUUAGUACCCUAACGAACAAUGACCCGAUCAUCGAUCAACGAACCAAGUUACCCUGGGGAUAACAGCGCAAUCUACUUCAAGAGCCCCUAUCGACGAGUAGGCUUACGACCUCGAUGUUGGAUCAGGGUAACCUAAUGG
RNAcentral lists this ribosomal RNA (483 nucleotides) under Theloderma asperum (hill garden bug-eyed frog). Its description in RNAcentral is "partial 16S ribosomal RNA". It matches the Rfam family "Bacterial large subunit ribosomal RNA", at positions 1850 to 2553 of the family's 2925-position model. The record is from RNAcentral. Lineage: Eukaryota; Metazoa; Chordata; Amphibia; Anura; Rhacophoridae.